CGGGAGGGCGUAGCCGUAGUCUUGGCCCACGUCAUUCUGUGCCCCGGGUCAGGUCACCGCCCGGAGGGUAUGGGAAGAGAAAUGAAGAAGACUGGUACUCCCAGACCCUUCCGUAUCGAGGACCCCAAUCAACAACCCACCUGGCAUGAUCAACCAGGUACAGAAUCAGUUUUUUGGCUGUAGAUGAUUUAAGAGUUAGGGUCAACUUGUCUUUGAGAUGGGGUCCCACUAUUUUGCCCAGGCUGGUCUUGAACUGCUGGGCUCAAGCAAUCCUCCUGCCUCAGCCUCCCAAAGUGCUGGGAUUACAGGUGUGAGCCACUGUGCCCGGCCCGGAGAACAUGAUCUUAACCAUACUGUCUUCCAAGUGAAAGAUUCUACCUUUCUAAGACAUCUGGAGUCAGACAGACCUGAGUUCAAGUCGUGCCUUCCUCCCCACUUUACUGAACCUUCAGUGAGUCUUUCUACCUCAGAAGGCUGUGAGGAUGCCAUGGGGUAAUGAAUGUAAAGUGUUUAAGUGCUUGGCUGACACUGAGUACUAAAUAAAUA
Molecule: long non-coding RNA, 546 nt
Filed under: Homo sapiens (human)
Lineage: Eukaryota; Metazoa; Chordata; Mammalia; Primates; Hominidae
Description: SLIRP overlapping transcript 1
Source: RNAcentral